UACAGACCAAGUUAUUAAGAGCUAUUGGUGGAUGCCUUGGCAUUGACAGGCGAUGAAGGAUGCGUUUACCUGCAGUAAUCUUCGGCGAGCUGGUAUAAAGCUAUGACCCGGAGGUCUCCGAAUGGGGCAACCCGGUAGAUUAAUCAUCUACCAUUAUACGUUGAAUACAUAGGCGUAUAAGGCGACACCUGCUGAACUGAAACAUCUUAGUAAGCAGAGGAAAAUAAAUCAAAGAGAUUCCCUAAGUAGCGGCGAGCGAAAAGGGAGAAGACCAAACCACAUUUUUAAUGUGGGGUUGUAGGGUCGAUAACAUGGGAUCUUAAGUUUUAGUUGAAUACUUCUGGAAAGCAGAACGAUACAGGGUGAUAGUCCCGUAGACGAAAAAACAAGAGACUCUAUUCGAUACCUGAGUAGGGCUAGACACGUGAAACCUAGUCUGAAUCUGGGGAGACCACUCUCCAAGUCUAAAUACUAGUCAAUGACCUAUAGUGAACCAGUACUGUGAAGGAAAGGUGAAAAGAACCCUUGUUAAGGGAGUGAAAUAGAACCUGAAACCAGUAGCUUAUAAGCGGUCGAAGACCUAUAACUUCUUAGGAAGUCAUGGUUGACGGCGUGCCUUUU
This 621-nucleotide ribosomal RNA is filed under the name Chlamydia psittaci. RNAcentral's name for it is "partial Domain I of the 23S ribosomal RNA". It matches the Rfam family "Bacterial large subunit ribosomal RNA", at positions 1 to 609 of the family's 2925-position model. The record is from RNAcentral. Lineage: Bacteria; Pseudomonadati; Chlamydiota; Chlamydiia; Chlamydiales; Chlamydiaceae.